RNAcentral lists this ribosomal RNA (301 nucleotides) under uncultured bacterium. RNAcentral describes it as "partial 16S ribosomal RNA". It matches the Rfam family "Bacterial small subunit ribosomal RNA", at positions 509 to 807 of the family's 1533-position model. The record is from RNAcentral.
CAGCAGCCGCGGGAAUACGAAGGGGGCUAGCGUUGCUCGGAAUUACUGGGCGUAAAGGGAGCGUAGGCGGAUCGUUAAGUUGGGGGUGAAAGCCCGGGGCUCAACCUCGGAACUGCCUUCAAUACUGGCGAUCUUGAGUAUGAGAGAGGUGUGUGGAACUCCGAGUGUAGAGGUGAAAUUCGUAGAUAUUCGGAAGAACACCAGUGGCGAAGGCGACACACUGGCUCAUUACUGACGCUGAGGCUCGAAAGCGUGGGGAGCAAACAGGAUUAGAUACCCCUGUAGUCCCUGUCUCUUAUAC